AGAGUUUGAUCCUGGCUCAGAUUGAACGCUGGCGGAAUGCUUUACACAUGCAAGUCGAACGGCAGCACGGGAGCUUGCUCCUGGUGGCGAGUGGCGAACGGGUGAGUAAUGCGUCGGAACGUACCGAGUAAUGGGGGAUAACGCAGCGAAAGCUGUGCUAAUACCGCAUACGCCCUGAGGGGGAAAGUGGGGGAUCGCAAGACCUCACGUUAUUCGAGCGGCCGACGUCUGAUUAGCUAGUUGGUGGGGUAAUGGCCUACCAAGGCGACGAUCAGUAGCGGGUCUGAGAGGAUGAUCCGCCACACUGGGACUGAGACACGGCCCAGACUCCUACGGGAGGCAGCAGUGGGGAAUUUUGGACAAUGGGGGCAACCCUGAUCCAGCCAUUCCGCGUGAGUGAAGAAGGCCUUCGGGUUGUAAAGCUCUUUCAGCUGGAACGAAACGGUACAGG
RNAcentral lists this ribosomal RNA (451 nucleotides) under uncultured bacterium. RNAcentral describes it as "bacterial SSU rRNA". It matches the Rfam family "Bacterial small subunit ribosomal RNA", at positions 8 to 459 of the family's 1533-position model. The record is from RNAcentral.